GACGAACGCUGGCGGCGUGCUUAACACAUGCAAGUCGAACGGUGAAGGGGCCUGCUUUUGUGGGCCCUGGAUGAGUGGCGAACGGGUGAGUAACACGUGAGCAACCUGCCCCCUUCUUCUGGAUAACCGCAUGAAAGUGUGGCUAAUACGGGAUAUUCUGGGUCUGUCGCAUGAUGGGUCUGGGAAAGAUUGCGCCUUUGGGUGUUUUUGGUGGGGGAUGGGCUCGCGGCCUAUCAGCUUGUUGGUGGGGUGAUGGCCUACCAAGGCGGUGACGGGUAGCCGGCCGGAGGGGGUGGACGGUCACACGGGGACUGAGACACGGCCCAGACUGCUACGGGAGGCAGCAGUGGGGAAUAUUGCACAAUGGGCGCAAGCCUGAUGCAGCGACGCCGCGUGAGGGAUGGAGGCCUUCGGGUUGUAAACCUCUUUCGCCAGUGAAGCAGGCCUGCUCCUUGUGGGUGGGUUGACGGUAGCUGGAUAAGAAGCGCCGGCUAACUACGUG
This 502-nucleotide ribosomal RNA is filed under the name uncultured bacterium. Its description in RNAcentral is "partial 16S ribosomal RNA". It matches the Rfam family "Bacterial small subunit ribosomal RNA", at positions 28 to 507 of the family's 1533-position model. The record is from RNAcentral.